CAAAACUCAAUUCCUAACUCUUUAAAUUGGUGAUACUACUUAACCGUAACCAUGUUUUCCGUUUCUCUAUAUCCAUCUCUCUGUUAAAUUGGUGAUACCAUAGAUUUCAUUACAUCUCUUUUACUGUUCUAUUGACUUUUGUGAAAAUGGUUAAAUAGCUAAGCUAUGGAGAAAAACCCAAUAGUCAUCGGAGACACGAUUUCUCUAUUGAGAAAAAGCUUCAAUCUUCUUUUGCCAGACAAAUUCAGCUGACUCAAAAGUAGCCCAUAAUAUUGGGUUUCUUCCACAACUAACCAGAGGUGCUUAGGCAUAAAGAUGACAGAAUUUAGACAGUUUUCUGGCUGGAUUUUGGUGAUCCUGUAGAUUUUCCGGCGACCCGAUUUUGUGUAGAAAGUAAGCGACACCAAAUAAAAAAUGGAUCAAGACGA
Molecule: long non-coding RNA, 428 nt
Organism: Papaver somniferum (opium poppy)
Lineage: Eukaryota; Viridiplantae; Streptophyta; Magnoliopsida; Ranunculales; Papaveraceae
Exons: 3
Source: RefSeq, a predicted model, not a curated record